RNAcentral lists this ribosomal RNA (200 nucleotides) under uncultured bacterium. RNAcentral describes it as "partial 16S ribosomal RNA". It matches the Rfam family "Bacterial small subunit ribosomal RNA", at positions 524 to 723 of the family's 1533-position model. The record is from RNAcentral.
UACGGGGGGUGCAAGCGUUAAUCGGAAUUAUUGGGCGUAAAGCGCCCGUAGGUGGUUUGAUAAGUCAGAUGUGAAAUCGCCAGGCUCAACCUGGUAACUGCAGAUGAUACUCUCAGACUUGAGUCUUGUAGGGGGGGGGAGAAUUCCAAGUGUAGCGGUGAAAUGCGUAGAGAUCUGGAGGAAUACCGGUGGCGAAGGCG